Danio aesculapii is the source of this 444-nucleotide long non-coding RNA. RefSeq lists it as uncharacterized. The transcript is spliced from 4 exons. Lineage: Eukaryota; Metazoa; Chordata; Actinopteri; Cypriniformes; Danionidae. The record is from RefSeq and is a predicted model, not a curated record.
UGAAACUUCAGCUAGACCUUGAGUUCAGUUUACAAUAUGAAGAUCCUGAUAUCAACAUCUGAUCUGAUCAACACCUGAUUUUCAUCUGAGCUGCAGAGUACCAACAUGUUACAAAUGAGAAUUUUCCCCACAAAUUCUUUGGACAACCGCACCACCACCUAUUUCAUUUGAUGACAAUUUUAAGGCAAACAGCAUCCAAAACUGACAAGACAGCAGAUACCCUGGCUAAUCUUUUGAAGGUUUAUGAUGAGCAGGAACUGCAUGAUGUCAGUUCAUGAUGGACUACUGUUAUCAGAGGUCUUUUGGUCUUGCUGCGUGAGCGUGACUGGGGAUUCUUUAGGACCACCCUGAUUAAUAAUCCUGAAGCGCUGACUGAAGAUGCUUUAUUGGCCCUGCAGUCACUGAGGGUCUCUGCUGUCCAGAAGAAUGAAUUGGACACCACCC